UCAUUUCCAGCAUGGUAGUUUGCAC
RNAcentral lists this non-coding RNA (25 nucleotides) under Rattus norvegicus (Norway rat). The record is from RNAcentral. Lineage: Eukaryota; Metazoa; Chordata; Mammalia; Rodentia; Muridae.